RNAcentral lists this ribosomal RNA (448 nucleotides) under uncultured bacterium. RNAcentral describes it as "bacterial SSU rRNA". It matches the Rfam family "Bacterial small subunit ribosomal RNA", at positions 28 to 466 of the family's 1533-position model. The record is from RNAcentral.
GAUGAACGCUAGCUACAGGCUUAACACAUGCAAGUCGAGGGGCAGCAUGAUUGAAGCUUGCUUCAAUCGAUGGCGACCGGCGCACGGGUGAGUAACACGUAUCCAACCUGCCGAUAACUCGGGGAUAGCCUUUCGAAAGAAAGAUUAAUACCCGAUAGUAUAGUAUUUCCGCAUGGUUUCACUAUUAAAGAAUUUCGGUUAUCGAUGGGGAUGCGUUCCAUUAGAUAGUUGGCGGGGUAACGGCCCACCAAGUCAACGAUGGAUAGGGGUUCUGAGAGGAAGGUCCCCCACAUUGGAACUGAGACACGGUCCAAACUCCUACGGGAGGCAGCAGUGAGGAAUAUUGGUCAAUGGACGAGAGUCUGAACCAGCCAAGUAGCGUGAAGGAUGACUGCCCUAUGGGUUGUAAACUUCUUUUAUACGGGAAUAAAGUGGAGUAUGCAUACUC